RNAcentral lists this ribosomal RNA (609 nucleotides) under uncultured Pseudonocardia sp. RNAcentral describes it as "bacterial SSU rRNA". It matches the Rfam family "Bacterial small subunit ribosomal RNA", at positions 54 to 677 of the family's 1533-position model. Lineage: Bacteria; Bacillati; Actinomycetota; Actinomycetes; Pseudonocardiales; Pseudonocardiaceae. The record is from RNAcentral.
CAUGCAAGUCGGGCGGUAAGGCCCUUUCGGGGGUACACGAGCGGCGAACGGGUGAGUAACACGUGGGUGACCUGCCCUCAGCUCUGGGAUAAGCCUGGGAAACCGGGUCUAAUACUGGAUAUGACCUCAUGCUGCAUGGUGUGGGGUGGAAAGCCUUGUGCGGCUGGGGAUGGGCCCGCGGCCUAUCAGCUUGUUGGUGGGGUGAUGGCCUACCAAGGCGACGACGGGUAGCCGGCCUGAGAGGGCGAUCGGCCACACUGGGACUGAGACACGGCCCAGACUCCUACGGGAGGCAGCAGUGGGGAAUUUUGCGCAAUGGGCGGAAGCCUGACGCAGCGACGCCGCGUGAGGGAUGACGGCCUUCGGGUUGUAAACCUCUUUCAGCCCUGACGAAGCGAGAGUGACGGUAGGGGUAGAAGAAGCACCGGCCAACUACGUGCCAGCAGCCGCGGUAAUACGUAGGGUGCAAGCGUUGUCCGGAAUUAUUGGGCGUAAAGAGCUCGUAGGCGGUCUGUCGCGUCGGCUGUGAAAUCCCGGGGCUCAACCCCGGGCUUGCAGUCGAUACGGGCAGGCUAGAGUGCGGCAGGGGAGACUGGAAUUCCUGGUGUA